GAGAGAGAGAGAGAGAGAGAGAGAGAGAGAGGGAGGAGAGAGAGGCAGAGAGGGAGAGUUCCACUCAAGGCUGUGUUUCUAGUAAACUCAGUAGAAGCCUCAUGGACAGAUAUGUUCUAAGGUGACUGAUAGGCACCGGUCACCUUGAUAAUGGCCUAAAACCACACCAGCAGCAUCCUGAUCGAGUUUUGAGGACAACUGCCACCUUGAAUCAGAGGAGAAGCUUUCGGCAUUUGCAGCUGGCCUGGCAUCUGAGAAUCUGCAGGUUACUCUUACCAUGUACUGGGGCAUGAGAAGAAGAAACAGUAAAUUUGAAUGGUAUGCAAACACCUUUAAAAUAAAAACAAAAGAAAAAGAGAAAAAUAUCUGUGAGAAACAAAUGAUCGAGCUGUACUCAGAAGCCUUCAAAAAACCAAGUGCUAGGUAAUCCAAACCUUGCCUUAUGCAUGCUGGGCAAGUGCAUUAACACUGUGCUACACCCCCAACCCUGCUACGAAUUCUUUAGACUUCACUCUCCUACUGAAGUGGGUUCAAAGCCAUGGCUGCUGCCUGGGGAAGACCUGACUCUGGGAACUUUUGUCUCGGUGGCUGGCAGCCACAGUUCACGAGCCAAGUCUGGAAUGGUUGCUUGAGUUCAUACUGCUACAGGGCCAAGGACGGUUGUUGCAUUUUGAAAAGAGCGAAAACACCAAGCCAACACUUCUCCACAAGGAGAAUGAAAUCGAGGGUCCGUGUCGGGGAGCUGGAAGGCAGCCGUAGCGCAGGUCACUGUCCAGUUGCACACAGCUGCUGCCCACUGCAGCAGCAGAGUGGAGCAGGUGUGGGACCUUGUGUCUCAGCAGUGAGAACGGUGACUAAGACAGUCCUCACCCAGUGACCAUGCCCUUGCCCAGGCCGUUCCCCAUUCUACAUCUCCAUCUGUCAGGCUCUUCACAUGUCUGGUGCUACAGUGGAAUACCACCUUUCGGAGAGCAAAGACCAUGCCUCUGACAUCGCACCUGCCCUACAGUGCUUAACCUAGGAGCUGUGCCCAGUGAGUGUGCAGAUCUGGGUGAUGUAUUCAGGUGCAGCUGUGUUCCCUCUCCUAUAACCACAGACCUGCUCUCACUGGGUUCUUGGACACUGCAGAAAGGUAGAGCACCCCAGGGAAAGAAAGAAGCCCUAAGUGCCUUCAUUCCUUAGGUGGAUUCAUUCAUCCAGCGCAUAUUAAACUUCUGCAGUGUUCCAGGUACUAUAUCAGGG
Molecule: long non-coding RNA, 1242 nt
Filed under: Heterocephalus glaber (naked mole-rat)
Lineage: Eukaryota; Metazoa; Chordata; Mammalia; Rodentia; Bathyergidae
Description: lncRNA (ENSHGLG00100030506.2)
Source: RNAcentral